This 432-nucleotide ribosomal RNA is filed under the name uncultured bacterium. Its description in RNAcentral is "partial 16S ribosomal RNA". It matches the Rfam family "Bacterial small subunit ribosomal RNA", at positions 29 to 506 of the family's 1533-position model. The record is from RNAcentral.
AACGAACGCUGGCGGCAUGCCUAACACAUGCAAGUCGAACGAGACCUUCGGGUCUAGUGGCGCACGGGUGCGUAACGCGUGGGAACCUGCCCUUAGGUUCGGAAUAACUCCCCGAAAGGGGUGCUAAUACCGGAUAAUGUCUUCGGACCAAAGAUUUAUCGCCUUUGGAUGGGCCCGCGUUGGAUUAGCUAGUUGGUAGGGUAAAAGCCUACCAAGGCGACGAUCCAUAGCUGGUCUGAGAGGAUGAUCAGCCACACUGGGACUGAGACACGGCCCAGACCCCUCCGGGGGGGAGCAGGGGGGAAAUUUGGACAAUGGGCGAAAGCCUGACCCAACAAGGCCGGGGGAGUGAUGAAGGCUUUGGGGUUGUAAAGCUCUUUUACCCGGGAUGAUAAGGACAGUACCGGGAAAAUAAGCCCCGGCUAACUCCGG